Non-coding RNA from Microcebus murinus (gray mouse lemur), 3521 nucleotides. The record is from RefSeq and is a predicted model, not a curated record. Lineage: Eukaryota; Metazoa; Chordata; Mammalia; Primates; Cheirogaleidae.
ACUACAGAUUCCAACUAUAACCCCCGGGAGCUCCGAGAGCAGAGGUCCCAGGAAGAAAGGGGAAAAAGCGUCCUUUCCCCUCUUUUUAUAUCAACCUCGUACCUCCGGCUUGCCCUACCUGGCUCACCUCCCACCAGCCACACACGCAGAAUAGCUGCAGAAAACCCGUUAGCAAUUCUGAGAUCAGGAACUAUACAGAAAAUAUAAUAUUUUAAAAAUCGAACACUUCCUCCUACUCCCAAUCCCAUUCCCCAAAGGAUUAUGACUUAUCAGUGAGUUAUGAAAUCAAUUUAGUGGAUCAUGACCAGCAUUUUGAAAAAAGAAAUGAACUAGAAUCCACUAGGAAAUAUCAGAGUACAUUGCACAACAUGAAGCCUAAACUAAGGUCUGAUAUAGAAUCAUCUCUCUGUUAUUCUUGAAUGAACCAAUGAACGUGGUGGCCUAGAGUGCGAGGGAAAGCAGUGGAAGGAGACCAGCAUCAGCACGUCCUGUGCCUUACUGUGGGAACAGGGUUGGAGAGGAAAAUGCUCUGACACAGAAUUGAAGGCUGGGCAGAGCCUGCGAGAGGGAGCCCGGAGGGACCUUGAGUGACAUCUAGUGGAUUCUUUGACCAACUGGGAGAUACCAGCCUGAGGAGCUCUCCCAUUAGCUCCCAAGGUGACUACUGUGCACAACAUGUCAUACAGGAUCCGUGUAGAACAGGGAUCCCUGCCGUCUAGUGUCCCGGCGCUUGAGGAUAGAACCGGCGGACGUUAUUUAAUAUUAAAGGAAAAUCAGUGUGAUGGCAUGCCACGCUCUCUCCAGCUAGCAUGAAGAGAACAUAAGCCAAUAAGGCUGAAAAGGUGCCACCUUUGUGUUUACAUGCCAUGAACUUUGUGUUGACAGCAGAGAAGAGCCAUAGAAGGCUUUUAAAGAGUAGAGAAGUGAUCGUCUGCAUAUUUUAUAGAGACCGCCAUGAUGAUGGUGGAGCAUAGGCUGGGAGAUGGAGUGAAUAUAAAGACCUGUUUCAGAACCUUGUGAUAACCCAGAGGGUUAUGUGAACCUUGGAGAACUUUCCACAUCACUACAAACUGAGCGACCUCAUUCUCCCUAAGAUCUGCAUCACCUUGGGCAGGCAUCGGCUCUGUGGUUGACUGCAAAGCUCAGGCCCUUGGGGAGGAUCUGCAGGAGAGGUGGCUUCUCCUUAGGAGGAAGUUGAUCAGUGCUUUCUAGAGUCUUCUCAAAUUUGCGGAGCUCUUAAAAUAUAUAUAUUUUUGGGAAGGGAAGAUUUUCCCUAAAUUGCGGUCGUUGCCUGCUGUAUGAAAAUGCCUCAGUAGAGGCCUUUUCUUUUCAAUUUCUUCAGCAUCCUCUUUCCCUAGGAGCUAAUCAGAAUGACUGUCUAUAAGUUACACCAUGCAUGGUAACGCUAACAUAACACCGUAGGCCAUCACUCCUCCCAGGUAAUUUCAGAAAGCCUGUGUAAAUUGCAAGAAAACUACACAUUGGCGAAGAACUUCAGGUACAUCCUAGCUCUGAAAUCCUUUUUAUUCAUUUGAGUAUAGGCCUCAGGAACAUCUAGGGGACCUUGGAAGGGGAGGUUUACCUGAACGUGUCCUCAGUGGGAACAUAGGGAAGAGUGGGCACGUCUCAGCGCAAUGGUUUUGAGAGCGAAUCUGUGACUUCACAAAGACAACAGGACUGGAGUAAGCAUGCAAUUUGAUUUCUCAAUUAAACUAGCAUGCAGUUUCCCGCUGUGGAAGAGGGGUUCCCCUCUGACUUGUUGAACCGUUUCAUCAUCCUCUCCCCGGAGGCAAGUGUCAAGGUGGAGAGGGAGCAUUCCUCCAGUCUGGCUCUGUCGGAGUGAUGCUUUGUAAGUCAUAUCUAACUGGGAGCCAGUCUCCUUAUCCAUGAAAUGAGGUGAGGAAAUUAGAUGAUUUUUAAGGUCCUUCCUGGCUUUAAAAUUCUAGCUGUUAUGACUCUGACCAUCAUGAACCAUAUAGGAAUUAAACACACACACACACACACACACACACACACACAACUGAAUUUGGUUUUUUGGAAAAUAGAUGAUGGAAUCCCAUUACCCAGCUGGGUGGUGCUUCCUAUUUAAACUGUUGUUUUCCUGACUUGCGUAGCUCUUUUCCUUUCAAACCAUGCUGGGCGUCUGUGCAUUUAGAGCACAUGACAUUGAUGGCUUGAGCUUUCUUUCUUCCACAAUUGCCACCAUUCUGUCACUUAUCUCACUGGGAUGUUGUCCAACUUAAUGCACCAUAAUAAUAAUUAUGUCUUAUAUGCAUAUAAGCUUUAACAGUGCACUGAGAAUGGUGCCCAUGAGUUUUUCAGGAAGAGAUUGUCAGGAUUUGAAUUCUGCCUUAUAGCCGCUAGGGACUUGGUUGCAAAUAGAAAUUGUUUCUGGUUAACUUAAGCAGAGAAGGAAUCUAUGUGAGGAACAGUGGAUAAUUGAUAGAAUCGUGGGCAUGUGGGAGGCCCCGGAUGGGGCAAGGCACAGUCAAGAGGCUGCCUUCAGAGCCACCAACUUUAGAGAGGUGCUUGUCACUGCCUUCCAUGGCCACCUCAUACAAUCCCUAACUGACCUUGUGCCUUGGCUAGUCUCCCUAAGGGUCAAUGUUUUUAAGCAACCAGAGAGUGGCAAAAGGGAAUAUCUUCCCCUUCAGCUUGCUUUCCACAGUGGGCCAUGAAACCUUCCUCUACUUAGCUCAAUGCCCCCCACAAGUGAGAAGUACAGUGCAUCUGCAGCUGGGCACUCACAUACCAAGGAAAAGAACCUCAAUUCUUACCUGGUAUCAUGCAUAAAAAUUAACUCGAGUAGGACUAUAGACCUCAAUAUAAGAUUGAAAACUACCCAACUUCUAGAAGAAAACAUAGAAUAAGUAUAAAGCAACCAGAAUGACAAAUGUCCACCACAUGGUUCCACCACCUACCGUAGCUGUGUGACCUUGGUAAAGUGACCUUGGAUGAUCCCGACUCCUGAGGCAGCUGUGUGGAUUCCGUGGGAACUAGCAUAAAACCCUCGGCCCAGGGUUCUCCUGAGCCUAACCUGAGCUUGGACAUUCCUGGAUUCCUGGGCAUGUCUAUGCCUCCAAGUGUCUCUUGGCAUGGGGGUGGGGGGAGGGAUCUGAGAGGGGAUAGAUAAUUUCCCCCUUCCCCCACAGCCAUAAACUGCAUGAGGGACAGAUCAUUUUGACACCUGCUGGUUUUGCACCUUUGAGAGCCUGAGAUUCAGCUUCUGCUGAUGGAUAUGGUUAGCUGCAGGCAGGGUCUUCUCAGGCACUGAUGUGAGAGAGGAGACUGUGUGGGGGUCCUCUAGGUGCUCUGAAAAUAUUUCCGGUGAAACGUAUCUGGGGAGAUGCCGGAGGCGCUCUGUCAGCAGGUGGGAGGCACGAGCUGGUGACAUCUGCUAAUGUGAAGCCAUUUGUCCCUCUGGUGCUGCGCCUGAGAGAAUUUGGGCUGCACGUACAUCCUCGCACUGGAUUCUCAUCACAUCCCUUUAAGGCUGGCAGAGCAAGUGCUAGUAGCCUCAU